Camellia sinensis is the source of this 934-nucleotide non-coding RNA. The record is from RefSeq and is a predicted model, not a curated record. Lineage: Eukaryota; Viridiplantae; Streptophyta; Magnoliopsida; Ericales; Theaceae.
UCAGAACCUUUGUCUACAAAGGACUACCGUCGGACCUGUCAGAACGGCGAUCUCGAACGGGCUGAUUGCGCAAUUUGAGAUAUCUCUUCUUUGUGGUUCUGCAAAGUUGAUUCUCUAUCACUUCUCUCUGAAUCCAUGCGAAAAUUAACGGAAGCAUGAAGUCCUCCUCCAGAUGUUCUCUUUUGUGCUGAAUUUGCAGCUUUGUUGCUAAAAACACUAGGAUGUAUGUAUAUUCCUGUGGAUGCAUCCAUAUCAGAUCUGAAGGGAGAAAUUCCCACUCCAACUUGAUCGUGUUCUUCAUCGUGCCUUAUAACCCGGUCCUGACUUUGCAUGCGCUCUUGCAGAGAUGCUGAGUCAAAGCAAUUGUGCGUUGGGUAAGACCUUUUAGAGUCUACGCAAUUGUUCUCUUGAUCUCUCUCAUAAAUCCGAAUUUUUUCAGACACACUCUUCGACCAUCUCAUUUGUGAAGGAGGUUCUUGGUUUUUGGCUUGAAGUGUUUUCCUCCUUUUGCUCUUAGCCUUGGCAUCCUUUUCAACAUUUUCUUGAACAGAGACCUGACACAGUUCAUCUUUGCCCUAAUUUUUCUCUCCAUUUCUGUUCAAAUCCAAAUUCUUGACGAGGAGAAUGAUUUUUCUGCUAUCUUGAUUUGGGAGCUAAGGGAUUGUGAAUUCUUGAAAGAUUUCCUAAUUCAUUGGUUGCUUAAUUGUUGAAUGACGCUUGAGUGAUGAUUAGAGGAUCAAUCUGCUCCAGUCCUUCAUUCUUGAUCAUCUUGAUGGCAUUUAAAACUGCUCUAAUAGGCAGCACUGCCAGAUUUGUAUGAAAAGCGGUACAUGGAUGAGGCUAAGAACCCGCCUAACAAGUGAUAGAUGACAAAAUGACGGAAACUUCAACAGUUCAAACAACUUCUAAAACAGAAGCAGGGAAUAUGAACCUG